Molecule: long non-coding RNA, 613 nt
Organism: Arabidopsis thaliana (thale cress)
Lineage: Eukaryota; Viridiplantae; Streptophyta; Magnoliopsida; Brassicales; Brassicaceae
Product: other RNA
Exons: 1
Source: RefSeq
CAGCGAGAUCUUGCCGGCCGGCGGAGAGUGGAUGCAACAAACAAGACGCCGUAACUCGUUGAAUCAGAUCCGAGAAGUUAGAAACCUUGUUCGCCAUUUCUCCUCUCUUCUUCUUCUUGCAAAAAUCGCCGCCGCUCUUACUGCAAAACGCCGUUCAAGUUACCAGAAAUUGUUGAAAGUCAACAACGAGUCAAACCUCCGGAAAGUAAUAGAAGCUUUAUUACCUGCGGGAAUGGUGAUUGUUAUUCUCAGAUUUGAGAGCGAAUCUCGGAGGAUCUCGAUUGAAUUGAACAGAGUACCAGUAGUCAAUGUCUUUGGGCUCAGUUUCUAAGCUCUCUCGCUCACUCUUUUUCUUUUUGCUGCACAAUGAAGAAAAACCAACUAAACGUCACCGGAAUAAUUAAUCUCCGGCCGACGACGACAAUAGACGGAGAUUUCUGAUUAUUUCUAUCCUAAUCUCUGAGAGUGAUAGAGUCAGUGACUCAGUGUGGGGAGAAGAAGAGCAAUAAGAACUGAAUCAUAAUUACCGAAUUAACCCUUUUUAGUUUUAUGUUUUGACCCCUGACUUUUAAAAAAAUUGUAAUCGAUGUGACGUGUAAAAAAGCUUAACCUC